This is a transfer RNA of Streptosporangium subroseum, 73 nucleotides long. It matches the Rfam family "tRNA". From Rfam's summary of the family: Transfer RNA (tRNA) molecules are approximately 80 nucleotides in length. Their secondary structure includes four short double-helical elements and three loops (D, anti-codon, and T loops). The record is from Rfam. NCBI's taxonomy places the organism in Bacteria, Bacillati, Actinomycetota, Actinomycetes, Streptosporangiales, Streptosporangiaceae.
ACCUCUGUGGCGCAGUGGAGAGCGCGCCCGCUUGCGGAGCGGGAGGUCGCCGGUUCGAUUCCGGCCAGAGGUG